GACGAACGCUGGCGGCGUGCUUAACACAUGCAAGUCGAACGGAAAGGCCCUGCUUUUGUGGGGUGCUCGAGUGGCGAACGGGUGAGUAACACGUGAGUAACCUGCCCUUGACUUUGGGAUAACUUCAGGAAACUGGGGCUAAUACCGGAUAGGAGCUCCUGCUGCAUGGUGGGGGUUGGAAAGUUUCGGCGGUUGGGGAUGGACUCGCGGCUUAUCAGCUUGUUGGUGGGGUAGUGGCUUACCAAGGCUUUGACGGGUAGCCGGCCUGAGAGGGUGACCGGCCACAUUGGGACUUAGAUACGGCCCAGACUCCUACGGGAGGCAGCAGUGGGGAAUAUUGCACAAUGGGCGGAAGCCUGAUGCAGCAACGCCGCGUGCGGGAUGACGGCCUUCGGGUUGUAAACCUCUUUCGCCUGUGACGAAGCGUGAGUGACGGUAAUGGGUAAAGAAGCACCGGCUAACUACGUG
Molecule: ribosomal RNA, 468 nt
Filed under: uncultured bacterium
Lineage: Bacteria
Description: partial 16S ribosomal RNA
Rfam family: Bacterial small subunit ribosomal RNA
Source: RNAcentral